Small nuclear RNA from Trichosurus vulpecula (common brushtail), 103 nucleotides. The record is from RefSeq and is a predicted model, not a curated record. NCBI's taxonomy places the organism in Eukaryota, Metazoa, Chordata, Mammalia, Diprotodontia, Phalangeridae.
GUGCUCACUUUGGUAGCACAUAGAUUCAAAUUAAAAUCAAAAAAGAUUAGCAUGGCCUCCCUACAAGGUCGACGUGCAAAUUUGUGAAGCAUUUGAUAUUUUA